GGAUCCCAUCAGAACUCCGAAGUUAAGCGUGCUUGGGCGAGAGUAGUACUAGGAUGGGUGACCUCCUGGGAAGUCCUCGUGUUGCAUUCCUAUUUUAAUUUUCCUUGCGCGUCGUGACAAACAAAACGCAACGUGCGUGACAUAUAUUAACCCCGUUUUUUCUUAUUUUCCAUGUUUGCGGUACGUUUGCGCUCGCUGCUCAUUAUUCACGCGUCUAGCCGGCGUUGUGGCCGGCAACGCGUUCCCGAAAGGGGUCGAGACCGUGGUAAAUACGUGGUGGUGCGGUUGAGAGGGAGGGGUGGAAACCGUGGUAAAUUCGUCUCCGCAGUUGAGCGGGAGUGGCCAAAAGAAUGUGCAAUCGUUUUGUAGUGGAGCUGGGAGGGGCAAGCAUAAGGGACGAAGGCAGGGGUAACAUGUCGGAUGCGAUCUUACCAGCACUAAAGCACC
Molecule: ribosomal RNA, 447 nt
Filed under: Kengyilia rigidula
Lineage: Eukaryota; Viridiplantae; Streptophyta; Magnoliopsida; Poales; Poaceae
Source: RNAcentral